Long non-coding RNA from Gorilla gorilla gorilla (western lowland gorilla), 338 nucleotides. RefSeq lists it as uncharacterized. The record is from RefSeq and is a predicted model, not a curated record. The transcript has 2 exons. NCBI's taxonomy places the organism in Eukaryota, Metazoa, Chordata, Mammalia, Primates, Hominidae.
GUUUAGAAUGUAAGGCUUGUUUAGAAUGCAAGGCCUCCUCAAUUCUCCACCCUUCCGCUCUUAACAUCUUGCUCUUCUUCCCUUCAUCUAUCGUGUUAGUUAGGUGCAUGCUGGUCUUCCCUCUAUCAAACUUAAAAUAGGAAUAAGAAUUGGACCUACCUCAAGAUCUGUUGAGAAGAUUAUGAGAGAGCUGAUGGAUCUAAAAGAUUGGCGCUUGGUAAUGACUGUCAAUUCUAUUACUUCUGUGUGUAAUUCAUCACCUAUUCUUGUUCAUCACUUGUGAAAAUUGUAACCCCUUUCUGUACUGAGUAAAAUGGAAACCUGUGUCUGCUCCUAGA